CACCGUCCAGUUUAGUAUCUUGAACCAGUUUGAGGAAAGAUCGGGGUUUGGCUUGGACACGAUGUGGAAGUCUGGGACACUACUGCUGCUGUCGGUGCUGUGGGCGUCCGGUGAACUCCAGCAGGAGACAGAGCCGCGGAGACUACCACCUCCGGGAAAGUUGGAUUUUGGUUAUGUGCCUGCGGGAGUUUACGAGACAUUGGCUCAUUACGAACCCGGACCCAUAGGGAUCCUCUUCCACUUGGUGCACGCUUUCCUGCAUGCGGUGCAACCCAACGCUUUCCCCCACGAUCUUAUUGUGAAGCUGGCAAAGGACAAGUUUGGAGCCAUUCAAACAGAAUAUCAAAAGCCAGAGAACAUAGUGCUGACCCUGCAGGCCAUCUAUUAUGAGAUAGGCUUCCUCAUAUGUGCAGCGGUGGGUCUGCUCUUCGCCAUCCUCAUGCCGGUUGUGGGACUCUUCUUCUGCAUGUGCCGCUGCUGCGACAACUGUGGUGGUGAGAUGCACCAAAGGCAGAGGAAGAACGCGGACUGCCGGCGCGGCCUGCUGGGAACGUUGCUCUUCUCCACCUCGCUGGUCAUCACGAUUGGAAUACUUUGUGCGUAUUCAGCCAACCAGAAUCUGAGCUCUCAGGUGAAGAACAUACGCCGUCUGGUUAACAGCAACAUGAGGGACCUGCACACCUUUGCUAAUGACACACCUAUGCAAAUUGAUUACCUAAUAUCCCAAUACGCCACUGUCAAGAACAAAGUCAACUAUGACCUAGAUAACAUAGGUCCAUUACUCGGAGGAAGGAUACAUGUACGGUUGGAUAAAGAGGUCCAUCCUGCUUUAAACCAAGUGCUUAAUAUGGCUGGAGUGAAAAUCCAGAGAGCCAUCAAAGCCAUGAGGGAAACCAAGGAGGCCCUGGAGAACGUCAGUGUGUCUCUGGUGGUCUUACAGGAAGGAGCUGGAAAACUUCAUUUCAACCUGAGCCAAGUCCGCGACAGCAUCAACCGCACCCUCGAUGACCCUGGGUGUCAUGACGAGGAAUCGGACGCCACCACGGCCCAGCUUUGCCGCAGCAUCCGCCAGUCCCUGUCCCAGCUACAAAUCAGUGCGAAUUUCACCCGGCUUCCUAAUGUGAGCCCUCAGCUGGAAAAGAUGAAAAAUGUAGUGAAAACAGAUCUCAGCUCUGUCGUCCACAGGGGGUUUUCCUCUUUGAAUGACACUCCGCACAUUGUGAUUGAACAGACAAGAAGCGUUGUCAAUAGUGUCCAGAAUUUACUGGACAGUAUUGGCAACAACAUCAGCAGCUUCUCCAAAGCUUUCCCUGUGCAGACCUGUUUGUCUAACUUCACCAUCUUCAUCAGCCACGCACACGCCAAAAUCGAAGACUACUAUCCUGAAAUUGAUAAACUGGACUUCUACAGAUGGAUCGGCUGCAUCGCUCUGUGCUGCAUGGUGGUUCUGGUUUUGGCCUUUAACUAUCUGGGCCUUCUGUGCGGCACCCUGGGAUACGACAAGCAUGCCUCUCCCACGACACGAGGAUGUAUCUCCAAUACGGGAGGAACACUGCUGAUGGCUGGUGUUGGAUUUAGCUUCAUUUUCUCCUGGAUGCUUAUGGGAGUGCUGACCACCAUCUUUCUGGUUGGAGGAAACAUGGAGAAACUUCUUUGUGAGCCAUUUCACACCAAAGAACUCUUGAAGGUCGUUGACACCCCAUACUUGAUCAAGCCAGAGUGGAAGAAUUUCAUUCCAGGCUACAUGUACAAUGACUCUGAAUUGGAGCUGACAUCGGAAAGCUUGUACAGUACAUGCAAACAGAACAAAGGCAUCUACUCUGCCCUGCGUCUGGAUAAAGUCUUCAACAUCUCAUCGUUCCUGAACACCUCAGUGUUCACUAAGGAUGUGGUGCGUCAGCUGGAGAACUUUCAGAUUGAUCUGAGAGCGAUAAUCCUUUUAGAAGCAGAGGGGAAGCAGAACCUCCUAGAUUUCUCUGAAGCUGGCCUAUCAGAGAUCAACUAUGCUGACUACCUUGACGAGGUGAAUAAAGGAGUCACUGUGGUGGAUGUUCUGUCAUUCGCCAAAGAGCUGGAGUCCCAGACAGACCUGAUGCCCAGGGGACCUCUGCAGACAGCUCUGAAGGGCCAUGUGGCCACUCUGCAGCGGGUCCACAGACAACAGAUCGCUCCAAUGGAGCAGGCCAUGAAAUAUGUUAGAGCAAGGAGUGCAUUGAACCAGAGUAUGAGAUUCCUGGAGAGGACAGCUUCUGACCUCCCGAACAAAGUCACAGAUGUUCUUGAGACCAUUGAAGCUGCUCAGCACCUCAUCUCCCAGAAUGCAACACUUUUAAUCAAUCAGGAAACAAGAAAAUACUCAGCAACCAUUAUUGGCUAUUUCAAUCAGUACAUAGAAUGGGUCAAAACAUCAUUGGCUUUGGAGGUUGCACCAUGCAAGCCCUUCAGCAACAUCUUGGACACGGCGCAGAUCAUGACCUGCAGUUUCCUGGUGGAUUCUAUGAACACUUUCUGGAUGGGUUUGGGCUGCAGCACACUGUUCUUGCUCCCAAGCGUAAUACUAGCUGUGAAACUAGCCAAGUACUACCGCAGGAUGGACACAGAGGAUGUUUAUGAUGAUAUGGAAAUUGGUAAUAAUGGUUAUCAUAGUGAGAGUUCACAAGGUAUUCCUAAUCCUAUGAUGACAAGCGUCCCAACAUAUGACACAAUGAACAGGUUUCCCCGGGCCUCGGCUCCUCCGAGGCACAUCGACUGGUGAGAGUCAGCUCUCGCUUGGCUCCAGAAAGGUACUGGUAACACAAAACGACGACUCUGUCUCUCUAACACCGAUUUCCUCACACCUCUCCUCACAGCCGUCCUGCUGAGUCAGCGAUCAUCUGUUUUAAAUCUUAUAUUGCUAAUGUGGUAACACUCUUAACACCUGUUCACAGCUUGUUUUAGUGCUUUUUCUGCUUGCUGAAAUGCCAUCAUGGUGAGAAUGACUAAAUUUACUGUAGAUGCUCAUGACUCUCAGUGUUUUAGAGAGAAGAAACCUUCAAUUUUAUGUUGAUUUAUAUUUAGGAUAAUAUCCUGCAGUUUAGAAAACAUUCUCUGAUGUGUCUACUAGCCUCUUGUGAGUGGUUGUGUUCAGUUAGUGCAUGAGCGAUGUGAAACCCUUUUAUAUGUAGUUAUCUCCACCUAACAGCACCUUCCACCUUGAAUGAAAUCACUUUGUGUAACGCCUUAAAAAUAUUUUCAGUCUAAUAUGUCUUACAGCAGCAUCAUCUCACAAUAACAAUAAUAAAAAAUUUUAAAAAUCCGACCUUUAGUCCUCUCAGGCUCAAAUUACUUGCAAAGACUAGCUAAGUAGCAUUUAGCUGUUGCAAAUCUGCAACAUCUGCCUGGAGAGGGUUAAUUUGAGUACAUUUGAGAAAUGCUACAGCAUUGUUGUUUUCUUUUAGAUUAUUGCAACUACCUUUAUAGACCUUUUACAUGUUUUCAGAAGAGCCACCAAUCGAUUAGCUUUGAUGGGAUUAUUUGGUGAAAUGCAGAUUCGACCAACUCUGGAUUUUGUGAAGAUCUCUGCAGUCUCAGAGUCACAGAGCCUGCACUACAUUACAAAUAUUUAUUAAGAAUCUAAGGAACUGCAAUAAAAUCUUAACUUAUUUUAGGGAUAUUUCUGUUUUGAAAUAUUUUUCUUGCGUCGUGAUAUCUAAAGUAUCUUUCUCUGUUUUUUGUCCUUGCAGUGCCCUUGACAACUGGAACUAAACAUCAUGCUCACUUGAUGAACUUCAACAUAUUGCUGGUUUCUUCACUUCAAAAGAAGAACAAGGAAGGUGCUUGUUCAAUGAUGCAGAUCAAAUUCUCCAGUUUGGUUUCUGCCGGCAGGACGCUAACCUUAUCAGCCCUCAGCAUCAAUCUGAGCCGGGUUUCAUCUACAUUUUCCAGGA
Molecule: RNA transcript, 3926 nt
Organism: Poeciliopsis prolifica (blackstripe livebearer)
Lineage: Eukaryota; Metazoa; Chordata; Actinopteri; Cyprinodontiformes; Poeciliidae
Gene name: prominin-1-A-like
Exons: 28
Source: RefSeq, a predicted model, not a curated record